AAACUCGGCAAAAUCGCUCCGUAACUUCGGGAUAAGGAGCGCCCUAGUAGGGUGAAGCGCUUUUCGCGUGGAGUCUGAGGGGGCCGCAGUGUAUAGGUUCAACCGACUGUUUACCAAAAACACAGGGCUCUGCUAAGUCGUAAGACGACGUAUAGGGUCUGACGCCUGCCCGGUGCCGGAAGGUUACGUGGAGGUGUUAGCUGUAAGGCGAAGCACUGAAACUAAGCCCCAGUAAACGGCGGCGGUAACAAUAACCGUCCUAAGGUAGCGAAAUUCCUUGUCGGGUAAGUUCCGACCUGCACGAAUGGCGUAACGAGUUGAACGCUGUCUCAACGAUGGGCUCGGUGAAAUUGCAGUCUCGGUGAAGAUGCCGAGUACCCGUGGCUAGACGGAAAGACCCCGUGCACCUUUACUAUAACCUGGUAUUGGAGUGCGGUGCAUCUCGCUCAGGAUAGGAGGGAGUCUUUGAAGCAUCGGCUGCGGCUGUGUGGAGACAACCUUGAGAUACCUCCCUUGAUGUAUUGUGCUUCUAACACUGCGCCCUUAUCGGGGCAGCGAACAGUGCCAGGCGGGUAGUUUGACUGGGGCGGUCGCCUCCCAAAAUGUAACGGAGGCGCGCAAAGGUUCCCUCAGUACGGUUGGAAAUCGUACAUAGAGUGCAAAAGCAGUAAGGGAGCUUGACUGUGAGACCGACAGGUCGAGCAGGUGCGAAAGCAGGCUUUAGUGAUCCGGCAGUAGCAAGUGGAAGUGCUGUCGCUCAACGGAUAAAAGGUACGCCGGGGAUAACAGGCUUAUCGAGUCCAAGAGUCCACAUCGACGACUCGGUUUGGCACCUCGAUGUCGGCUCGUCGCAUCCUGGGGCUGUAGUAGGUCCCAAGGGUUGGGCUGUUCGCCCAUUAAAGCGGUACGCGAGCUGGGUUCAGAACGUCGUGAGACAGUUCGGUCCCUAUCUGCCAUGGGCGUUGGAGAAUUGAAAGGAUUCGUCCCUAGUACGAGAGGACCGGGAUGAACGCACCUCUGGUGUAUCUGUUGUCCUGCCAAGGGCGUCGCAGGUUAGCUACGUGCGGAACGGGUAACCGCUGAAGGCAUCUAAGCGGGAAGCCGGCCUUGAGAUGAAUUCUCCCACCUCCUUGAGAGGGUAAGACCCCUAGUAGACCACUAGGUUGAUAGGCCGGAUCUGGAAGAGUGGUAACACUCGUAGGAGACCGGUACUAAUGGGUCGAGGGCUUGAU
Molecule: ribosomal RNA, 1232 nt
Filed under: metagenome
Description: bacterial LSU rRNA
Rfam family: Bacterial large subunit ribosomal RNA
Source: RNAcentral